UUUCCGUAGGUGAACCUGCGGAAGGAUCAUUACCGAGUGAGGGCCCUCUGGGUCCAACCUCCCACCCGUGUUUAUCGUACCUUGUUGCUUCGGCGGGCCCGCCUCACGGCCGCCGGGGGGCACCCGCCCCCGGGCCCGCGCCCGCCGAAGACACCAUUGAACGCUGUCUGAAGACUGCAGUCUGAGCAUCUUAGCUAAAUCAGUUAAAACUUUCAACAACGGAUCUCUUGGUUCCG
This 236-nucleotide unclassified non-coding RNA is filed under the name plant metagenome. RNAcentral describes it as "partial contains small subunit ribosomal RNA, internal transcribed spacer 1, and 5.8S ribosomal RNA". The record is from RNAcentral.